AACGGGCAACGGGGAAUCAGGGUUCGAUUCCGGAGAGGGAGCCUGAGAAACGGCUCCCACAUCUAAGGAAGGCAGCAGGCACGCAAAUUACCCACUCCCAGCCCGGGGAGGUAGUGACGAAAAAUAACGAUGCGAGACUCUUCCGAGGCCUCGCAAUCGGAAUGAGUCCAUCCUAAAUCUUUGGACGAGGAUCCAUUGGAGGGCAAGUCUGGUGCCAGCAGCCGCGGUAAUUCCAGCUCCAAUAGCGUAUAUUAAAGUUGCUGCGGUUAAAAAGCUCGUAGUUGGACUUUCUAGAUCCAUUUCGUGGGUGGGUCGCUCGUUGUACUGGCGAUUCGCGCCAGUCACUGGUCGACGUCGUGCGGAGAGUCGUACUUUUACUAAGUYGGCUUUACGGCUUUCGAUAGGGGAGACUUCUCUCUCUCGGCAAACUUUCCAGCGGACGGCGUUUCUCGGUCUUCGGGUAUAGCUCGCCCGCGUUUGGUACAAUUAAAAUUUUGUCGGCUCGCUCGGAGUGCUCUUUACCGAGUGUUCCAGGGUGGCCGACACGUUCACUUUGAAAAAAUUAGAGUGCUUAAAGCGGGCUGUAAAAACGGCCGGAAUGUCUGUGCAUGGAAUGAAGUAACAGGACCUCGAUUCUGUUCUUUUUGUCGGUUUUAAUGAACCGAGGUAAUGAUUAAAAGGGACAGACGGUGGCAUUAGUAUUGCGACGCUAGAGGUGAAAUUCUUGGACCGUCGCAAGACUAACUACUGCGAAAGCAUUUGCCGAGAAUGUUUUCAUUAAUCAAGAACGAAAGUUAGAGGAUCGAAGGCGAUCAGAUACCGCCCUAGUUCUAACCCUAAACUAUGCUAACUAGCGAUCCGCCGAAGUCAUUCCCACGACUCGGCGGGAAGCCCC
RNAcentral lists this ribosomal RNA (895 nucleotides) under Macrostylis sp. ML08. RNAcentral's name for it is "bacterial SSU rRNA". Lineage: Eukaryota; Metazoa; Arthropoda; Malacostraca; Isopoda; Macrostylidae. The record is from RNAcentral.